RNAcentral lists this non-coding RNA (21 nucleotides) under Caenorhabditis elegans. Lineage: Eukaryota; Metazoa; Nematoda; Chromadorea; Rhabditida; Rhabditidae. The record is from RNAcentral.
UUUUGAAAUUUUCAAGCCAGC